Molecule: ribosomal RNA, 467 nt
Filed under: uncultured bacterium
Lineage: Bacteria
Description: partial 16S ribosomal RNA
Rfam family: Bacterial small subunit ribosomal RNA
Source: RNAcentral
GAUGAACGCUGGCGGCGCGCCUAACACAUGCAAGUCGAACGAUUAAAGCACCUUCGGGUGUGUAUAAAGUGGCGAACGGCUGAGUAACACGUGGGCAACCUGCCCCUUUCAUUGGGAUAGCCACGGGAAACCGUGGAUAAUACCGAAUACUUCGAGACUUCCGCAUGGAAGACUCGAGAAAGCUCCGGCGGAGAGGGAUGGGCCCGCGGCCUGUUAGCUUGUUGGUGGGGUAACGGCCUACCAAGGCAAUGAUGGGUAGCUGGGUUGAGAGACCGACCAGCCAGAUUGGGACUGAGAAACGGCCCAGACUCCUACGGGAGGCAGCAGGGGGGAAUCUUGCACAAUGGGCGAAAGCCUGAUGCAGCGACGCCGCGUGCGGGAUGAAGGCCUUCGGGUUGUAAACCGCUUUCAGCAGGGACGAGGCGAAAGUGACGGUACCUGCAGAAGAAGCCCCGGCUAACUACGUG